Long non-coding RNA from Syngnathus typhle (broad-nosed pipefish), 2940 nucleotides. RefSeq lists it as uncharacterized. The record is from RefSeq and is a predicted model, not a curated record. The transcript is spliced from 3 exons. NCBI's taxonomy places the organism in Eukaryota, Metazoa, Chordata, Actinopteri, Syngnathiformes, Syngnathidae.
UGUGGGUGGAUGUGUGUGUGUGUUGUCCUCCCUGCUCCUCUCAUGACAUCAUCCCUCAAGCCUCCUUAAUAACAAUAGCACAUCUCGCUUUUUCGCCUUUCGUGAUCUGUCUUUGUUUUAAGAGGCGGGACGCGACGAUCAAUCUUACUCGGUCUGACGUUGCGCGGCGGCGGCCAUGAUGACGGUGAUGAUGGCCAUGGUUAUGAUUUAUCAGAGGCGACCGUGACGGCGAAUACAAACGCGGCGUGAUAAACACAGAUUGAAAGGAUGGGCGUCACGGAUUUUGACCAUUUGUGUAAAAAGAUGCUUCGUACUCUCUGCAGUUAAGUAAAGAAACACUUCCGGAAACACACACACACACACACACACACGCACGCAGCUGCUCCCUAUCAGCACCUGGUGUGAGCCUGUAGCCGUUCCACUGUUUUGACUCUCACACUUCCUCUUCUUUCAUUACAUCUCUCCCACUGCCGACCUGCCGCCGUGGUAUUGGCCAGAUCUGUCAUCUUUGUUGUUUCCUUUCUCCUCCACCUGCGUUAAGCUCCAGCUGCCAUGUUUGGCGUUUCGCUUUACACACAGUGUGUAGCUGAUUCUCCCCCUUCUACGCGCGCAAAGGUGUACGGAGCCAUCAGCACGCACAAGCCAUUAAUUAGUGUGCGCAAAUAAACAGUUGUGAGGGAAAGGGAAGCGGCUGCAGUAAAAAAGAAAGGGGGGAAAAAAACCCAAGCAUGCACUUUUGCUGUCUUAUUUCCCUCCAGUGGUGCUUUUUGUCUCAUUUGAAGUGUAUGCUAUCAGUUGAGGGCGCUUUAGCUACAAACUAGCCGCCUAAAAAUAUGUAUCCUGCUUUUGUACUGCACAGUAUGUCACUACAUGCGCUGUAAAAAUAAAGUAGGAACUCCCAAAGUUUAUUUUACGUUGAGCUACUGAAUUUAGUCAGUCGUAAAAGGCAGCACUGCAGUUUUUGUUUCGUAUUGAACCUAAAACAAAAAUAUGUGAACGAUGAAUAUUUCAGGCAUAUUGAUAUUUUGGAAUACUGGGUAAAACUUUACGGAGCUAAUAUUUAUGUUCAUUCACUUUCCAUUAUUUCUUGUGAAGUUUUGAAAUUCAAACAACUCUGAAGUCAAGCAGGCUGUCAGCAUGCACUGCUUCCCAAAAAGACUUCAUGACUUUACUUUGUUGGCAAAUGUGAGUACAUUUGCCAACAAAUCCCUUUAGCACAUUCCUGUGCAAAAACCACAGUGUGUUUCUGUGCCGCCGGCCUGUGCGUGUGUGUAGGAGUGUGUGUGUGUGUGAUAUCUGAUGUCAGCUGUCACAUCCCAGUCGGUCUGGGCCCAUAAUAAGAGACAAUAAUAACAACUCAUUAAAACCGAGGGCAGGAACUGUGGAGCUCAUCGGCUCAUCAAAUUAACCUUUGAGCACUUCAUAUACACACAUAUUGCUUGGAGCUGCCUCACUUGCACACACACUCACACACGUGAUGGAGCUACCUGUUUUUCUCUCAGUUAGUGGCUACAUAAUCUUUCUGUCUUCCACACACACACUCGCCUCACUCGCAGCCAGUGGGUGUGUCAACAGGGGAUUGGUCCUUUCUGCCGGGUAAUUGAUGAAUUAUAUGCAAUAUGCAAAUGAGGAGCCAUUAAUCUCCUGACUGACAGCUUCGUUUAUGGGGCCUUAAUGACGGCUGGAUUAGAUUCUAAUUAAAAUCUGCUCAAAGACACCCCACGCUAGGAAGCGGCUGCCACUCGUCUCUCGCCCUCUCGAUCUCUUUUUUUUUUUAAUCUCUCGGACCCUCCUUCCGUAUAUUUCAUCUCUCCGUCCUCUGCACACUUUGGCUGGCCGGGCUCCCUCUUUUAAUAUCCCUCCUCGCGGGCAUACAUGCACCCACGGGCUCGUGUUAUGAAGUGUGUAGUAUGAGGGGAGAUGAGCCGCGCUGCUUGUCAUUAAGCCUGAUGCGGCCCGUGUCAUUCCCCCUGUCAGGACAUUCACACCGUUUAGUCAGAGCCCAAGUGAUGUCCGACAGCUUUUCGCCAACGCCGCGCCCCCUCGCCAACCCCCCUGGCCGGCCCACAAAUAGGAUUGAUUGAGCAUGUCCGGCCCAAUCUGAAGAAUGCACGACGUGACGUCAGGAUCUCUAGACUAGCCGGGCUCAGACGUCAUCCAAAGUGGUGGCGCACAACGUUUUACAUCUAAAAAAUUACUUAGAGCUCCAAUCAUUAUGACCAGCAUCGAAAUACAGGCCAAAGUGUUCAAGGCAGAAUUUUUACCUUUAAUUUUUUUUUUAAUAUGAGCAAAUAUUAGCAUGAUCGCAGCAUUGCCCCACUUGCUAAUCCUCGCUAACCAAAGAUGUGGGAAUUUUAGGUAGAAGUUCUGAACUUUCACCUGUAAACCCAAAAUCCUUCACUUAGUAGAGUACGUCUUCAUCUGCUCAAAAUCACCACGACAACUUGUAAGGAGUCAAAAAAUAGUCAAGUGGUCUUCAAGCAUAAAGUGAUGACAUGCAUAAAGGCGCUUGAGCGCAGUUGAGUGCUGGUCAGUGGGGGACGAUGCAGCGAGAGGCAAACUGGGCUCAAGACAAUUGGCCCAGUGUGAGUCUGCUCCAGGUAAGAAAAAAUUGAAAAAAAACCCCAGCAACAAAUGGCCAAGUGAGACAAGAAGGAGUAGUGGGCGAGCACACACAUUUAAUAAGCACACAAAUGAACGAGUAAGCUGAACAGUAAUGAGGCGCUUUAUUGACGCCAUGAGGGGCAAACUCGUUUUUUUGCUUUGCUCGUACUUACGGGGGUGGGAGGGCACGUUUGCUUUUGCUUCCAGGAAAACACUCACAUUUCAUUUGUCAAAUUUUAUAGACUUGAAGGCCACUAUUUGUUCACAUGGGCGGGCCACCCAUCUCAGUCUUAGCAACAACAACAAAAAAGCACCAAAGUGACUAACGAGCGAUGU